GCUCCCAUCGUCUAGUCCGGUUAAGGAUCAUGGCUUCUCGAGCCAUUGACACGGGUUCAAAUCCCGUUGGGAGCA
Molecule: transfer RNA, 75 nt
Filed under: Candidatus Aenigmatarchaeota archaeon
Lineage: Archaea; Nanobdellati; Candidatus Aenigmatarchaeota
Description: tRNA-Glu
Rfam family: tRNA
About the family: Transfer RNA (tRNA) molecules are approximately 80 nucleotides in length. Their secondary structure includes four short double-helical elements and three loops (D, anti-codon, and T loops).
Source: RNAcentral